Molecule: ribosomal RNA, 585 nt
Filed under: uncultured bacterium
Lineage: Bacteria
Description: partial 16S ribosomal RNA
Rfam family: Bacterial small subunit ribosomal RNA
Source: RNAcentral
UGGGGAAUUUUGGACAAUGGGCGAAAGCCUGAUCCAGCAAUGCCGCGUGUGUGAAGAAGGCCUUCGGGUUGUAAAGCACUUUUGUCCGGAAAGAAAUCCUUGGCUCUAAUACAGUCGGGGGAUGACGGUACCGGAAGAAUAAGCACCGGCUAACUACGUGCCAGCAGCCGCGGUAAUACGUAGGGUGCAAGCGUUAAUCGGAAUUACUGGGCGUAAAGCGUGCGCAGGCGGUUUGCUAAGACCGAUGUGAAAUCCCCGGGCUCAACCUGGGAACUGCAUUGGUGACUGGCAGGCUAGAGUAUGGCAGAGGGGGGUAGAAUUCCACGUGUAGCAGUGAAAUGCGUAGAGAUGUGGAGGAAUACCGAUGGCGAAGGCAGCCCCCUGGGCCAAUACUGACGCUCAUGCACGAAAGCGUGGGGAGCAAACAGGAUUAGAUACCCUGGUAGUCCACGCCCUAAACGAUGUCAACUAGGUUGUUGGGGAUUCAUUUCCUUAGUGACGUAGCUAACGCGUGAAGUUGACCGCCUGGGGAGUACGGUCGCAAGAUUAAAACUCAAAUGAAUUGACGGGGUCAUAGCUGUUUCC